AUGGCUCCUACUGAGGCUGAGGCUGAUGUAGCGGAGGGAGAAGAGAAGAAGAAGAGGGAAAGGAAAGCAGCCGGAGCUGCUUUCACAUGGAUUCAAACUCACUUUGCGACGUGCCCUCCGGAUGCCACUGAUGAUGUGAUCCAGACACAUGCUCGUGUCUACAUGUGGUAUGUUGUGUCGAGGACAUUGUUUCCUGACUCCACUGGCAAGAACGCUCCAUGGAUGUAG
Molecule: ribosomal RNA, 228 nt
Filed under: Triticum aestivum (bread wheat)
Lineage: Eukaryota; Viridiplantae; Streptophyta; Magnoliopsida; Poales; Poaceae
Description: partial small subunit ribosomal RNA
Source: RNAcentral